CCAAACUUGGUCAUUUAGAGGAAGUAAAAGUCGUAACAAGGUUUCCGUAGGUGAACCUGCGGAAGGAUCAUUAUCAAUCAAUCUUUCGCGGGAGAGAUUUCCCGCGAAAAAAAAAAAUGUACUUAAAACCAACCCUUUUUAUGAAUCGUAAUAUUUUUAUGUGAAAUAUAAAAAAAAAGAUCACUUUCAACAACGGAUCUCUUGGCUCUCAGAUGUGUAUAAGAGACAGCCAAACUUGGUCAUUUAGAGGAAGUAAAAGUCGUAACAAGGUUUCCGUAGGUGAACCUGCGGAAGGAUCAUUAUCAAUCAAUCUUUCGCGGGAGAGAUUUCCCGCGAAAAAAAAAAAUGUACUUAAAACCAACCCUUUUUAUGAAUCGUAAUAUUUUUAUGUGAAAUAUAAAAAAAAAGAUCACUUUCAACAACGGAUCUCUUGGCUCUCGCAUCGAUGAAGAACGCAGC
Molecule: unclassified non-coding RNA, 459 nt
Filed under: uncultured fungus
Lineage: Eukaryota; Fungi
Description: partial contains small subunit ribosomal RNA, internal transcribed spacer 1, and 5.8S ribosomal RNA
Rfam family: Eukaryotic small subunit ribosomal RNA (bases 1-73)
Source: RNAcentral